This 210-nucleotide long non-coding RNA is filed under the name Elaeis guineensis (African oil palm). RNAcentral's name for it is "long non-coding RNA (EGUI_LNC015628)". The record is from RNAcentral. Lineage: Eukaryota; Viridiplantae; Streptophyta; Magnoliopsida; Arecales; Arecaceae.
GAGGUGGUGCUCAUCGAGGCCCUCAUUCUGAAUUCUGACGUGGUCGCAAAGGGUGUAGUCGCGGAGGAUCUUGGAGCACUGCCAUCGAUCGGCCUUGGCAUGGUCGCGGCACUCGGAGGCGAUCCAGCAGGUGGUGGCAGCGUUGUGGCCGGCCGCUGAAAUAGGUUAGGGCUUAGGAUUUUUUUUUUUUAAUUUUUGAAAGGAUGGUGU